This 615-nucleotide long non-coding RNA is filed under the name Ananas comosus (pineapple). Its description in RNAcentral is "long non-coding RNA (ACOM_LNC020131)". The record is from RNAcentral. Lineage: Eukaryota; Viridiplantae; Streptophyta; Magnoliopsida; Poales; Bromeliaceae.
AUAUUACCUCUGUAAUUUCGUUUUUUUUAGUUUUAAUAUUAUAUAAUUUAAAGUAUAUCACUAUAGCACUUUUUUUUUAUUUUUUCUUUUCAUAAAGUUAUAACUGAAAAGUACAAACGUGAAUAUUCGAUAACUACAGGUAGGAUAUCUGAAGUUUUUUUUAUAUAUAAUUUAAUAAAAUAUUAACAAAUGAGCUGAUGGAAAGAGAAAAAUAAAAUCAUAGAGUACUAACUUGAUACACUUUAAAUGACAGGGUACUAGAGUCAGAAAAUACGAAACUACAUGAAUGGUAUCUGAAGUUUACUCUUUUACUUUACUAUGAUGUGUUAAUUUUAUUUUUAAUUACAUGACUUUUAAUAUUAAAAUUAAAAAAUAAUUUUAAAUUUUAAAAAAUUAUAAUUUUUAAUAGAAAAAAAAAUAUGUGAGAACAAAUUGAAGCUUUCUGAUAAGAUGUUUUUUUUUUUUUAGAGAGAUAGAUAGUACGUUAUCCGCUUCGUUUAUUUUAUUUAGAAAUAAAUUUAGCUGGAAAAUGUGAAUCAAACAGGAUUCGAAUUUAGGUCUCGAGUACCAACCAUCAAGCCCUUUGUCACUUGCUCCAGAUUCUAAGACAUUGUC